AAAGUUAAAGUCAGAGUUAGAAACCACGUGGUCCUCGUCUGAUCUCACAGCUCGUCCUUGUUUGGCCUCAGCUGCAUCAGAGCUCCACUUCUCCCCAGGUUCACCAGAGGAAACACCACUGAACUAAAUGCUUUUCCUCCCAGCUGCUGCUCUGUGCUGUCUGUGUUCAGCGCUGGCUGCCAUGGCAACACAGCUGAUUCAGGAGGAUUUAACAUUGACCAGGAGAGUUGGUGGAAAAGUCUCCUUCAGCUGUCGAGGCACUGAGCAGUGUUACACUGAUUAUAUAUUCUGGUACCAGAAGAGAGACACAGAAACAUUGACAGUUAUUCUUGAUAUUGACAAGAGUAAUGGUAACAUAGACAAGAGUUACUCUGUCCAUCCUCAGAAAGAUGAUUUCUCUGCUGUGAAUAAACAGAAUGGCUGGGAGUUGCAGAUCCAGAAAGUUAAACUCAAUCAUUCAGCCACCUACUACUGCUGCUGUCUGAAGCUUGUUCCCCACAGUGAGAAAGUCUCCCUGCAGCCUGAACAAAAACCUCCAGAUGAACAGAUGUCAAACAGUGUUUGUGACAGGAAGAGAUCAGUAAACCACAGCCCAGGUUCACAUAUUUCACCUCCAUCUCAGCCAGAGUCACAAACAGUGUUGGGCAGUAACGCAUUACUAAGUAAUCUAUUACUGUUAUAUUAUUAGGAUACUUUCCCCAGUAAUGAGUAGUGUAAGGGAUUACAAUUUACAAAACAGUAAUUAUAUUACAGUUAUUCAUCCAGUUAGAAAGUAAUAUAGUAAUAUAACAAGUACAAUAACUAAUUAGUUUGAUACUAAGUAAUAUGUAAGGUAAUAUUACUUUUUUAAGUAGUAAUAAGUAACAAGUAACUGAUUCCACUUCCUGAGUAAGUUGUCUAACACUGGUCACAAACACACUGAACUG
This is a non-coding RNA of Sander lucioperca (pikeperch), 926 nucleotides long. The record is from the annotation of a RefSeq genome assembly. NCBI's taxonomy places the organism in Eukaryota, Metazoa, Chordata, Actinopteri, Perciformes, Percidae.